CAACCCUCAAGCCUGGCUUGGUGUUAGGGCACUGCCUGUAAAAGGGCAGGCCCUCAAAUCUAGUGGCGAGCUCGCCAGGACCCCGAGCGUAGUAGUUAAACCCUCGCUUUGGAAGGCCCUGGCGGUGCCCUGCCGUUAAACCCCCAAUUCUUGAAA
This 156-nucleotide unclassified non-coding RNA is filed under the name uncultured Diaporthe. RNAcentral's name for it is "sequence contains ITS2". The record is from RNAcentral. Lineage: Eukaryota; Fungi; Ascomycota; Sordariomycetes; Diaporthales; Diaporthaceae. RNAcentral also lists the same sequence under 2 other names.